This 285-nucleotide ribosomal RNA is filed under the name uncultured soil bacterium. RNAcentral describes it as "partial 16S ribosomal RNA". It matches the Rfam family "Bacterial small subunit ribosomal RNA", at positions 26 to 339 of the family's 1533-position model. The record is from RNAcentral.
AGAACGAACGCUGGCGGCAUGCCUAAUACAUGCAAGUCGAACGAACACUUCGGUGUUAGUGGCGCACGGGUGCGUAACGCGUGGGAAUCUGCCCUUGGGUUCGGAAUAACAGUUGGAAACGACUGCUAAUACCGGAUGAUAUCGAAAGAUCAAAGAUUUAUCGCCCAGGGAUGAGCCCGCGUAGGAUUAGCUAGUUGGUGAGGUAAAGGCUCACCAAGGCGACGAUCCUUAGCUGGUCUGAGAGGAUGAUCAGCCACACUGGGACUGAGACACGGCCCAGACUCC